GAGUUUGAUCCUGGCUCAGGAUGAACGCUGGCGGCGUGCCUAAUACAUGCAAGUCGAGCGAACAGAUAAGGAGCUUGCUCCUUUGAAGUUAGCGGCGGACGGGUGAGUAACACGUGGGUAACCUACCUAUAAGACUGGGAUAACUUCGGGGAACCGGAGCUAAUACCGGAUAAUAUUUAGAACCGCAUGGUUCUAAAGUGAAAGAUGGUUUUGCUAUCACUUAUAGAUGGACCCGCGCCGUAUUAGCUAGUUGGUAAGGUAACGGCUUACCAAGGCGACGAUACGUAGCCGACCUGAGAGGGUGAUCGGCCACACUGGAACUGAGACACGGUCCAGACUCCUACGGGAGGCAGCAGUAGGGAAUCUUCCGCAAUGGGCGAAAGCCUGACGGAGCAACGCCGCGUGAGUGAUGAAGGGUUUCGGCUCGUAAAACUCUGUUAUUAGGGAAGAACAAAUGUGUAAGUAACUGUGCACAUCUUGACGGUACCUAAUCAGAAAGCCACGGCUAACUACGUGCCAGCA
RNAcentral lists this ribosomal RNA (522 nucleotides) under uncultured bacterium. RNAcentral's name for it is "bacterial SSU rRNA". It matches the Rfam family "Bacterial small subunit ribosomal RNA", at positions 9 to 513 of the family's 1533-position model. The record is from RNAcentral.